AACGCACAUUGCGCCCUCUGGUAUUCCGGGGGGCAUGCCUGUCCGAGCGUCAUUGCAACCCUCAAGCACGGCUUGUGUGUUGGGCCUUCGUCCCCAGUGGACGUGCCCGAAACGCAGUGGCGGUUCCGUGUUCCGGUGCCCGAGCGUAUGGGGCUUUGUCACCCGCUCUUGAGGCCCGGCCGGCGCUUGCCGACCCUUUAUUCUUCUAAGGUUGACCUCGGAUCAGGUAGGGAUACCCGCUGAACUUAA
RNAcentral lists this unclassified non-coding RNA (249 nucleotides) under uncultured Onygenales. Its description in RNAcentral is "sequence contains ITS2". The record is from RNAcentral. Lineage: Eukaryota; Fungi; Ascomycota; Eurotiomycetes; Onygenales.